RNAcentral lists this transfer RNA (61 nucleotides) under Eurythenes maldoror. RNAcentral's name for it is "tRNA-His". The record is from RNAcentral. Lineage: Eukaryota; Metazoa; Arthropoda; Malacostraca; Amphipoda; Lysianassidae.
GCUCUAAUAGUUAAAAAAAAAAUGUUACGUUGUGGUUGUAGAGUUGCGGAUGCUUAGGGUA